This 324-nucleotide ribosomal RNA is filed under the name uncultured Ralstonia sp. RNAcentral's name for it is "bacterial SSU rRNA". It matches the Rfam family "Bacterial small subunit ribosomal RNA", at positions 75 to 402 of the family's 1533-position model. The record is from RNAcentral. Lineage: Bacteria; Pseudomonadati; Pseudomonadota; Betaproteobacteria; Burkholderiales; Burkholderiaceae.
GCUUGCUAGAUUGAUGGCGAGUGGCGAACGGGUGAGUAAUACAUUGGAACGUGCCCUGUAGUGGGGGAUAACUAGUCGAAAGAUUAGCUAAUACCGCAUACGACCUGAGGGUGAAAGUGGGGGACCGCAAGGCCUCAUGCUAUAGGAGCGGCCGAUGUCUGAUUAGCUAGUUGGUGAGGUAAAGGCUCACCAAGGCGACGAUCAGUAGCUGGUCUGAGAGGACGAUCAGCCACACUGGGACUGAGACACGGCCCAGACUCCUACGGGAGGCAGCAGUGGGGAAUUUUGGACAAUGGGGGCAACCCUGAUCCAGCAAUGCCGCGU